Molecule: ribosomal RNA, 1242 nt
Filed under: metagenome
Description: bacterial LSU rRNA
Rfam family: Bacterial large subunit ribosomal RNA
Source: RNAcentral
UGAAUACGAGACGCUACGGCGUCGAAGCAGUCUAUGUCAUACUUCCAAGAAAAGCUUGCACUGUCAUAAACAAAUAAUGCCUGUACCAUAACCGACACAGGUGGGUAGGUAGAGUAUACUAAGGGGCGCGAGAUAACUCUCUCUAAGGAACUCGGCAAAAUGACUCCGUAACUUCGGGAGAAGGAGUGCCUUAUUUAUAAGGUUGCAAUAACAAGAUCCAAGCAACUGUUUAUCAAAAACACAGGUCUCCGCUAAGUCGUAAGACGAUGUAUGGGGGCUGACGCCUGCCCAGUGCCAGAAGGUUAAAGAAGUUGGUUAGCAUUAGCGAAGCUGAUAACUGAAGCCCUGGUGAACGGCGGCCGUAACAAUAACGGUCCUAAGGUAGCGAAAUUCCUUGUCGGGUAAGUUCCGACCCGCACGAAAGGCGUAAUGAUUUGGAUACUGUCUCGGAGAGGGGCUCGGUGAAAUAGACUUGUCUGUGAAGAUGCGGACUACCUGCACCUGGACAGAAAGACCCUAUGAAGCUUUACUGUAACUUGAAAUUGAAAUUGGACUUUAUUUGCGCAGCAUAGGUGGGAGGCGUUGAAAAUAUUCUUGCGGGAAUAUCUGAGCCAUCAGUGAGAUACCACUCUUGUAAUGUUAGAUUUCUAACUUUGUAUCAUUAUCUGGUCAAAGAACAGUUUCAGGCGGGCAGUUUGACUGGGGCGGUCGCCUCCUAAACGGUAACGGAGGCGCACAAAGGUUUCCUCUGAACGGGUAGAAAUCGUAUCUAGAGUGUAAAGGCAUAAGGAAGCUUGACUGUGAGACCUACAAGUCGAGCAGGGACGAAAGUCGGUCUUAGUGAUCUGACGGUGCUGAGUGGAAAGGCCGUCACUCAACGGAUAAAAGUUACUCUAGGAUAACAGGCUGAUCUCCCCCAAGAGUUCACAUCGACGGGGAGGUUUGGCACCUCGAUGUCGGCUCAUCGCAUCCUGGGGCGGUAGUACGUCCCAAGGGUUGGGCUGUUCGCCCAUGAAAGCGGUACGCGAGCUGGGUUCAGAACGUCGUGAGACAGUUCGGUCCAUAUCCGGUGUAGGCGUUAGAAUAUUGAGAGGAGCCUUCUUUAGUACGAGAGGACCGAGAAGGACAUACCUCUGGUGUACCAGUUAUCGUGCCAACGGUAAACGCUGGGUAGCUAUGUAUGGAGAGGAUAACCGCUGAAAGCAUCUAAGUGGGAAGCCCACCUCAAGAUAAGUAUUCUCU